RNAcentral lists this transfer RNA (72 nucleotides) under Romeriopsis navalis LEGE 11480. It matches the Rfam family "tRNA". Rfam says of the family: Transfer RNA (tRNA) molecules are approximately 80 nucleotides in length. Their secondary structure includes four short double-helical elements and three loops (D, anti-codon, and T loops). Lineage: Bacteria; Bacillati; Cyanobacteriota; Cyanophyceae; Leptolyngbyales; Leptolyngbyaceae. RNAcentral also lists the same sequence under 1 other name. The record is from Rfam by way of RNAcentral.
ACCGGAAUAGUGUUAACGGCAACACGUCGGUCUCCAAAACCGAAAUUCUGGGUUCAAAUCCUAGUUCCGGUG